This is a long non-coding RNA of Physeter macrocephalus (sperm whale), 3274 nucleotides long. RefSeq lists it as uncharacterized. The record is from RefSeq and is a predicted model, not a curated record. Lineage: Eukaryota; Metazoa; Chordata; Mammalia; Artiodactyla; Physeteridae. The transcript has 5 exons.
UGGCCGGUGCUUCCACAUCUUAUUUGAUCUUCAGACAAUCCUGUUAAAUAGGCAGCGUUCCUCUCUUCACAGACAUUGAGAAAUAGCUCCCAAAGAAUCACCGUUUACCAGAUGAAGAGUAUAUACAUGAACAAAAAAGUCAAAUGCCCACCUUGCAUGUAUGAUUGGUUAGCGUAUUUGGAGAGAGAAGAUUGUCCUUAAAUCUUACUCAGUCCACCAGAAACUGCUCUGCUUCCUGGGCAGAGCUUUUGCUUCUCUUUCUGCUGUAUCUUCCUGCAAGUGCUCACCACCAGUCCCACACGUACCAGGAGAACAUGGGGAAGGCUCGGAGCAACCCAAGUCUGCGGUCAGAACUAUUCAAGAAGACCUGUGCUAAUGAGGAGCCUGAGAGUCUCAGAAACAGGAGGACGUUCACGCAGCAGACAUGGACACCAGACAGGCCCGAGCCAGCAGUGUGGACCAGAUCCCUCUUCUACUACCGCAGGGGCUGCUGUGGAGGCUGGAACGAGGCUGCGCCUGCAGAGGAGGUUAAGAGGACCCGGUUUGGAGAGGCUUUGAGAGAGCGGGUGGAGGAAGAGGUUGCCAUGGGGGCCCGUUUCUGAAACAUUCGAUUCCAGCAAGGAGGCCAGACAGUGUGCAUGGUGAGGGCCAGGGACAGCAGCUUCCAGGCCUUGUGUCUCAGGGGCCUCAGUAGGAUCCACGGCUGGAGUUGGAUUAGGCCCUAAGGGUCAAGUGGGUAAACUUCUCACCCUGUAAGCGUGAAGGGCAUCACCAUGUCCUCAGGUGGCCUCUCCCAUCAGCCCCUGCUUUCCAGUCUCCCCGGCUUCCCAAGUCUCCCCAACUGCGCACACGCUGCCCUCCAUCCCCAGGCUGCACGCGCUCUGCCAGACCCUCCCGGGGCCAGCUGGCCAUGGGCCCCGCGAAGCAGCCUCAGACCACGGCUCCUUUGGCUUCUCCUUUCUACCCUCGCAUCUCAUUCCACUGGCCAAGGCCUUCGGGCUGGGCUUUAACCAAGGGUGGGUCUGCUCCCCUCCCCCGAGCUGCUCCUAAGACUGGCCUUGUCCAGAACCGGGGUGCUGAUGCGGCCCUGCUGCCCCCCACUCCCACCCCAAGAGCUGUCACGGUCCUUGGAGGAAGGACCUUCGAGAUGCUGUCUUGCACCCCUGGCUGUGGGGCCUCUCCCGCCCAGGAACGCCUGGUCCUGGGACUGCCCGGAGGAUGCCGAGUCCCGAGUUCUCUCACCCUGGGCUUGGGGUGCCUGGAAGCCGUUGCGUGUCGGUUUUCCGUUCCGUGGUGCACCGCUCUCCACAGGCUUCUCCCCUAUCGGGCUUGCUUCUUCGUGCCUCAUGCCCAAGCCCCCCUCUUGGCUCCAGCUUGGUUCUCUGGAGCAGCCGGGAACUGCUGCGAGGGAACUCUUCACAACUUCCCUGCUGCAAGCUAAGCACCCUCACUUAUGCUGGUUUCCAUACCGAGCUCCAUGAUGGCGUGCACUUUGCCGGGAGGCGCCACCCGCGGGACCAGACUAAGUGUUCAAGUGCUCAGAGCUGAGGAGGAUCACGGCCUGCCUCUAAGGACUCUGGGCGAAGGAGGAGUCUACGCAAGACAAGCUGAAGAAUAAGUCCUUUCAUAGGCGUCGUCACGGCUGCUUGCCCCUGGAUGACAACAGCAAGCUCAUGGCAGGCUUUCUUUCCUAACCCCUUUCAGCCACCAACUCCCUUUCAGAUGCAGCAGAAGCUGAGGCCAGCAGAAGACUUGAUCUAAGUGAUGCCUGAGACCCACACGGUGAUGGACCCACUUCUGGCUGAAGUCGCCAAGUCAGAACGGCAGAGGACGCAGAGACCCGCGGUUUCCAGCUCCACUUCCUUCCCUGUGCCUCGUGGAGAAACCAGGGCCUGAGUCUCCUCUUUCCAGGCAAGUACAGGCUCUGGAGCCCCAGCUGUGGGGCUAUGUUUUUGUUGCCAUUUUGGAAGAAGAAAAUUAAGAAAAACCAUCCUUUGUUUAGGGUUUGCCCUUUUGGGGUGGGGGGGAGUGAAUUUACAUUUUCUUGUAAUUUCAAACAUGCAAAAAUGUUGGAAGCAUAGCACAAAGAACCCUGUUAUGCCCCCUCUCAGAUGCACCAAUUAUUUACAUUUUGCUCAAUUUGGUUUAUUUGAGCAACAAAUUACUCUAUUACUCUGUUUAUGUAAACAUUCUUCUUCCUGAACUGAUUGAGAAUAAGUUGCUGAUCCUGUACCCCUUUUGCCCCUAAAUAUUGAGUGUGUUCUCUUGCAUAACCACAGGGCAAUCAGAAGAGACAUUUAUACAACACCGCUAGCUAAUAACAAUCCCGAUUUACAUUUCAUAUUUUUCUCAUCUGGAAUUGAAACCCAGAUCAUGCAGUAUCAUUUCUCUUCAGUCUGUUUCGAUGUGGAAACAUUUCUCAAUAUUUCAUUGUCCUUUGUGAGCUUAUGGAAGAGCAGGAGGCAGUUCUAUAGAAUUUCUCUGAGAAGGAGAGAAGCAUCCCUGACGUCCAGGCACUGGCAGAUCCCGCCAGUUGGGCCCUGGGGCUGCUCUGAGCAGCCGGCACCCACAGGAAGGGAUCAGUGUUCUGCUGAAGCCCAGCGAUAUCACAGAACCCCAGGGCCACUCUGUGACCAUGCUGGAUCAUGACAAAAACAAAACCACCUUAUGAUCAUGUCUCAACACAGAGAAAACACGACCAUUGCCAAAGCUGCAAAGUACCAGACACCCGCUCUGGCUAAUAAGUGACAGCUGCUCUAGCCUGCCCUCCCCACAGACAGGAUUAAGAUGUCUGGGCAUAACUUACCCCUGUGUCUCAACAGUAACCAACCCAGAGCAAAGCCCAUGCCCUUCAACCCUCCUCCACACCACCUGUCCCAAAUCCCAUAGGUCCUCCUAACAUGCUUUGAUAGGACGAAGAAUAAGGCUGGCUUGUCCAAACACAGGGAUGCUGCUGGCCAUCUUUGAUGGAUCCUCCCAACUGGGACUGGUUUGGGGUUUCACUGUGAUUAGACAAAGAAGCUGACGCCUCUAGGAUGGACACUGACUGAAUUUUAGAAAAUAACUUGGCCUGGGUGGCUUUUCAACAACCAGUUGAAUACAUUUUCCUUAAAUGUGAUCCGAGAGAUCACGGGGUCCCGGUUGUGGGCCAGAGGGGCCCUGCAGUCACUUUGGCCAUCCUCAGACAAUUCUCCAAAUUAUUGUGGAAUAUCUUGUUGUCCCAGAAAGUAAGGAUGCUUUCCCGGACGGGCAGUAGAAAUGGCAGGUCCUCAGU